RNAcentral lists this ribosomal RNA (352 nucleotides) under uncultured Coriobacteriales bacterium. RNAcentral's name for it is "bacterial SSU rRNA". It matches the Rfam family "Bacterial small subunit ribosomal RNA", at positions 1 to 339 of the family's 1533-position model. The record is from RNAcentral. Lineage: Bacteria; Bacillati; Actinomycetota; Coriobacteriia; Coriobacteriales.
AGUAGUUUGAUCCUGGCUCGAGGACGAACGCUGGCGGCGUGCUUAACACAUGCAAGUCGAGCGGAGACAUGUAACGGAAAGCUUCGGCCGGAAGAUAUAUGUUUUAGCGGCGGACGGGUGAGUAACGCGUGAGCAACCUGUCCUUCACAGGGGGAUAAGAUACCGAAAGGUGUUCUAAUACCGCAUAAGACCACAACGUCACAUGGCGAAGGGGUCAAAGGAGCAAUCCGGUGAAGGGUGGGCUCGCGUCCGAUUAGAUAGUUGGUGAGGUAACGGCUUACCAAGGCGACGAUCAGUAGCUGGUCUGAGAGGAUGAACGGCCACAUUGGGACUGAGACACGGCCCAGACUCC